CGGGAGGCAGCAGUGGGGAAUAUUGGACAAUGGGCGAAAGCCUGAUCCAGCCAUGCCGCGUGUGUGAAGAAGGUCUUCGGAUUGUAAAGCACUUUAAGUUGGGAGGAAGGGCAGUAAGUUAAUACCUUGCUGUUUGACGUUACCAACAGA
Molecule: ribosomal RNA, 150 nt
Filed under: uncultured Pseudomonas sp.
Lineage: Bacteria; Pseudomonadati; Pseudomonadota; Gammaproteobacteria; Pseudomonadales; Pseudomonadaceae
Description: partial 16S ribosomal RNA
Rfam family: Bacterial small subunit ribosomal RNA
Source: RNAcentral